Molecule: ribosomal RNA, 171 nt
Filed under: Crossorhombus valderostratus (broadbrow flounder)
Lineage: Eukaryota; Metazoa; Chordata; Actinopteri; Pleuronectiformes; Bothidae
Description: partial 12S rRNA
Source: RNAcentral
UACCGCGGUUACACGGGCAGCUCAAGUUGACGGAUAGCGGCGUAAAGGGUGGUUAGGGAAAUAUAAAAACUAAAGACGAAAGACUCCAAGGCCGUCGCACGCUGACUCGGAGCCCUGAAAAUCACCUACGAAAGUGACUUUACGAUACCCGACCCCACGAAAGCUGAGGUA